RNAcentral lists this long non-coding RNA (721 nucleotides) under Callithrix jacchus (white-tufted-ear marmoset). RNAcentral's name for it is "lncRNA (ENSCJAG00000081718.1)". The record is from RNAcentral. Lineage: Eukaryota; Metazoa; Chordata; Mammalia; Primates; Cebidae.
UUAACAGAUAAUAUCCUGUGGACAAGUCUCUCAUGCACAAGACAAAGACACCUGAAGGAGGGAAAUUUCAUGGAGUUGGGAGUUUAGUCAUGAAUGAUUAAGAGGCCCUAUUCUUCUGCUAGAGAUCACCUCAAGGAAAGAUUCUGCUCUGAAAGACCACGUAAGGACAUAAGAAGAAGAUGGGCCAUGUGCAGAUGAAAAAGAGGGCCUUCAUCAGACAUUGAAUUGUUGGCACCUUGAUGUUGAACUUCCCAGCCUGCAGAACUGUGAGAAAUAAAUUUUUGUUUUUUAGUCUACCUUGUUUGUGAUAUUUGCUAUAGCAGACUGAACUAACUAUGACAUCUAUCUGAGAGUUGGACUUUGUUUAAUGUUUAUUGUAGCUGUGGUUGCCAGAAGUUUGUUUCUUCUAAAUUUUGCUUCCCCUUUUGUCUUUGGGUUUCCCUAAGAACUCUUUCUUAAGUAGAGUCUGUGUCUUACAGGUUUCACAGUUGCAACUCAGUUAUUAUCCUGGUGUCCUGGUGAUAUAGCACUAAGUUAUUGAGGAAUAAAAGCGUUCUAUAAUCUUAUAAUUAAAUCUCAGCUUUUUUUAGUUGGCAUGAGUCCCUGGGUUAUGAGCUCAGAAAUUUCUAUUAGCCUUUUUUUUCUCUUCUUCUCUUGACGUAAGACCGGAAGGUCUCUGGAGUUGAUUAGUUGCAUUUCCUUUAGGUUAGAUAAGGCUCUG